RNAcentral lists this ribosomal RNA (328 nucleotides) under uncultured eukaryote. RNAcentral describes it as "partial 18S ribosomal RNA". It matches the Rfam family "Eukaryotic small subunit ribosomal RNA", at positions 1470 to 1796 of the family's 1831-position model. The record is from RNAcentral.
CCCUUAGAUGUUCUGGGCCGCACGCGCGCUACACUGAUGCAUUCAACGAGUCUAAAACCUGCUCUGAUAGGGGUGGGUAAUCUUUUGAAUGUGCAUCGUGAUUGGGAUAGAUGAUUGCAAUUUUUCAUCUUCAACGAGGAAUGCCUAGUAAACGCAAGUCAUCAGCUUGCAUUGAUUACGUCCCUGCCCUUUGUACACACCGCCCGUCGCUCCUACCGAUUGAAUGAUCCGAUGAAUAUCAUGGAUUGAGGAUGUAGCAGGUUCGCCUGUCUUCAUCUUCGAGAAGUGAAGUAAAUCUUAUCAUUUAGAGGAAGGAGAAGUCGUAACA